Molecule: ribosomal RNA, 403 nt
Filed under: uncultured bacterium
Lineage: Bacteria
Description: bacterial SSU rRNA
Rfam family: Bacterial small subunit ribosomal RNA
Source: RNAcentral
AUUGAACGCUGGCGGCAUGCCUUACACAUGCAAGUCGAACGGCAGCACGGGAGCAAUCCUGGUGGCGAGUGGCGAACGGGUGAGUAAUAUAUCGGAACGUGCCCAGUCGUGGGGAUAACGUAGCGAAAGUUACGCUAAUACCGCAUACGAUCUAAGGAUGAAAGCGGGGGACUCGCAAGAGCCUCGCGCGAUUGGAGCGGCCGAUAUCAGAUUAGGUAGUUGGUGGGGUAAAGGCUCACCAAGCCAACCGAUCUGUAGCUGGUCUGAGAGGACGACCAGCCACACUGGUACUGAGACACGGACCAGACUCCUACGGGAGGCAGCAGUGAGGAAUAUUGGACAAUGGGCGCAAGCCUGAUCCAGCUAUGCCGCGUGCAGGAAUAAGGUCCUAUGGAUUGUAACU